RNAcentral lists this ribosomal RNA (455 nucleotides) under uncultured bacterium. RNAcentral describes it as "bacterial SSU rRNA". It matches the Rfam family "Bacterial small subunit ribosomal RNA", at positions 340 to 784 of the family's 1533-position model. The record is from RNAcentral.
UACGGAAGGCAGCAGUGGGGAAUAUUGCACAAUGGGCGAAAGCCUGAUGCAGCUAUGCCGCGUGUAUGAAGAAGGCCUUAGGGUUGUAAAGUACUUUCAUCGGGGAGGAAAAACAAAACUAAUAAUUUUAUUUCUUGACGUUACCCGAAAAAGAAGCACCGGCUAACUCCGUGCCAGCAGCCGCGGUAAUACGGAGGGUGCUAGCGUUAAUCAGAAUUACUGGGCGUAAAGAGCACGUAGGUGGUUUUUUUAAAGUCAGAUGUGAAUCCCUGGGCUUAACCUAGGAACUGCAUUUUUGAAACUGAAAUACUAGAGUAUCGUAGAGGGAGGUAGAAUUCUAGGUGUAGCGGUGAAAUGCGUAGAUAUCUGGAGGAAUACCUGUGGCGAAAGCGGCCUCCUAAACGAAUACUGACACUGAGGUGCGAAAGCGUGGGGAGCAAACAGGGAUUAGGAUA